Molecule: non-coding RNA, 135 nt
Organism: Triticum aestivum (bread wheat)
Lineage: Eukaryota; Viridiplantae; Streptophyta; Magnoliopsida; Poales; Poaceae
Source: Rfam
GUAGUAUUCCCUCCGUCCCAAAAUUCUUGUCUUACAUUUGUUUAGAUAUGGAUGUACCUAACACUAAAAUGUAACUAGAUACAUCCGUAUUUAGACAAAUUUGAGACAAGAAUUUUGGGACGGAGGGAGUACAAA